This 496-nucleotide ribosomal RNA is filed under the name uncultured bacterium. RNAcentral's name for it is "partial 16S ribosomal RNA". It matches the Rfam family "Bacterial small subunit ribosomal RNA", at positions 28 to 506 of the family's 1533-position model. The record is from RNAcentral.
GAUGAACGCUGGCGGCGUGCCUAAUACAUGCAAGUCGAGCGAACGGACGAGAAGCUUGCUUCUCUGAUGUUAGCGGCGGACGGGUGAGUAACACGUGGAUAACCUACCUAUAAGACUGGGAUAACUUCGGGAAACCGGAGCUAAUACCGGAUAAUAUUUUGAACCGCAUGGUUCAAAAGUGAAAGACGGUCUUGCUGUCACUUAUAGAUGGAUCCGCGCUGCAUUAGCUAGUUGGUAAGGUAACGGCUUACCAAGGCAACGAUGCAUAGCCGACCUGAGGGGGUGAUCGGCCACACUGGAACUGAGACACGGUCCAGACUCCUACGGGAGGCAGCAGUAGGGAAUCUUCCGCAAUGGGCGAAAGCCUGACGGAGCAACGCCGCGUGAGUGAUGAAGGUCUUCGGAUCGUAAAACUCUGUUAUUAGGGAAGAACAUAUGUGUAAGUAACUGUGCACAUCUGGACGGUACCUAAUCAGAAAGCCACGGCUAACUACGU